AGCUUGUGGCUUGUUCUGAGAGAGAUUGCUCACAUUCUGAAAAAAAAAAUAGGUCCCUUUGCACUGCAUAAAAUGCCGUCAAACAAGGUGCUUGUCGUCACUGGCGCCGUGCUCGCGUCAGCUGCCCUCAUCGGCACUGUUGUCAUCAUGAGCUCCCACAAGAAGAGCACUGAGGACAACGAUGAUGACGCCUUCUGUGCGCCGCUAAGCAGCCUUUCGCAGUCAAAGAAGCAGACCUUUUCGGUAGCCAAAAAUACUGCGCGGCCCUCCGAGUCUGCCGCCUCCGAGGCGACUGCGUCGCAGAAGAAGCCGAAGGUAGCGCUAGAGACGCAGCCCGCGGCAGCGAAGAUGGAUGCCGCGGCGCAUGCUGACGUCAAGGUCCCUGCAGCAGCCGACGCGGCGGCGUCGCUUCUUGAGGAGGCAUUGGACGAGCUGGAGCCGACGAGACCGGCAGCUUCUGCUGAGGAGACUAAGGUGGCCGGUAAGCGGACAGUCGCCGAAGUGGCAGCUGCGGAUACCGCUGAUCGCAAGACGUUUCAGCACCUUGGCAUUUCGAUGAAGGUGCCGGAAGGCUGGGAGGUGCGGGAGGAGCUGUCGCCGAUCCCGAAUGUGGCGAUGGUGACGGUGUGGAACCCGGAGUUCGAGCAUUUUCCGAACGCUGAAAUGCCCGGUGCCGUGCCGGUGAUUAUUCUCUCCGUAGAGGAUAUUCGUGGCGAGAACUUGAACCUUGUCGAGUUCAAGGACCGCUCAAAGGACUUAUCGAUGCAGCAGAUGCUCAUGAUGACAGGUGGCGUCGUGCAGCCGAUCGUUCGCAAGGAUAGCAGCGUGCAGGAGGGUUCGUUUCGCCACAUUCUGGAGUACUCCCAGAGCAUGCCUCCGUUUUUCGACUUGUCGGUUAUCAAUCUGCUGGAGGUGCGCAACGGCGUCGCAUACGUAUUCCAGAUCAUGUGCAACCCGAAGAUCAUGAAUCAGUACCGCCCGAUCUUCACGCAGCUGGCGCGCGAUAUCGUGGUCACCCCCAUGGACUCCAGCUCCCUCGGCUUCUUUCGCGUGCACACCGGCAAGGUUUCCAUGGAUAUCGAUACCACAUGGAGCUGGUCGUACCCGGAUGCCGGCGACGAGGCUGCACUCCACCUCGCACAGUUUCAGCUCGCCUCCACCGUGAAGAAAGAGGAGAUCACCCUCUACGAGGUGAGCAAGGCCCCGGCGACGGUGCACAAGCAGCGCAAAGAAAAAACAGUGGAUGGAGUCACGAUUUGCUCUGCCUUUGACGGCACACAGGAGAAGAAGACGUUCACUUACAACAACUACUGCCUUGUUGUUCACCCGCAGCAGAAGGCCAUCUCGUACCUCUCCGAGGCAGCACUGGUGCGCGCCGUGAAGAGUGUGACACCGUCGACGGAGCCGCCGAAACCGAAGUGCGGCGCAGCCUUCAUCACGACAGAGUACGGCUACACCUUCGACGUGAUCGGUGCCAGCCGCGUCGUCUCAACGAAGCUGGGCAAUGGCACUGUUGUGUACGCGCCGCAGGGUAUUCCGUCGGACCCGUCCAAGGCCGCGUCGCCUGAGGAGACCGGACCGACUGUCACCAUCCGCAUUGGCAAGCCAGAGACGGACCCUGACUGCAUGGGCAGCAUUGAGGAGUGGACGGCCCGCAUUCGGGAGGAGGCUGCAAACGGCACCAUCACAAAGAUCCAGGUCGUGCAGUUGAAGGAACAGGAGUGCCUCACCUUCCUGUCCAAGGAGAUGCAGGAGGUGUCGCCGAAGGAGAAGGUGGAGGUAGUCGGCAAGGUUUUCAUUUUCGUUCGCAAUGGUACGACAACGCUUGUGCGCUGGGAGAGCGCGACGGGGACGUGGCGCAAGUACGAGCGAGAUAUGGAGGCGUUCCUCGAGUCCUUCCAGUUUCUUGAGUCGGUGUAGGUGUUGAAGGUACAAUGAGGGUGUGUAGAGAGCAAAAGAAGAUAGUCGUGCAGAAGCUGCACAAGGAGGUGGGAAGGGAAAGUGAGUGACCGAAAGGAGGAGUACACACGGCUGAAAUAGCAGAAAAGAGAACACAGUGACGGAAUAUAGAGGAACACUUGCUAUUGCGGAGCCUCCGCUGCGCAUGUGUGAGAGGGCUUCAUGAAGAAGAUCGUUUAUCAAUGGCCCUGUGCGGUCCCACGCUUUCUUGUGCGCGUUAUUCCCUGGUUGGGCAAGUCUCAAGCUUCAGUGCUUUGCUGUUGAGCCAUUUCUUGUGUAUGCAUGUGCAUGCGUGCGCACGUGCGGAAGUGGGCUGUGCCUUUUUCUUUUGCCUCCUUUUCUGUUUGUGUUCUCCACAUGUCUGGCCCCUCUCCCCCUCUCUCCUCUCCCCCGCUUAUUUACUUAUGCCACCAAGUCUCCUUUUCCUUAUCGUAGCUUUCUUUUUUCUUGCGGCCUUCCUGUUCUUGCGUUCUUCUCUUCCAUGUUGCACCUCGUUUCUCCCUCUCCCACCCCCUCUCUUGUGCGCCCCUCCAUUCUCUCCCCACUUGUUCACAUACAUUUCUCCUGCCGUUUCUUUCGUUGUUUAGGUGACGUGAAGAAACACAAGGAUACCGUCCCCCCUCCAAAGGCGAAAAAAAAAAUAUAUCUCGAUAAGAUGGAAGUAAAGUAGGUAUCCUCAGUGCACUUGUAGACAAACGGGAAACAAACAACCAAAUCACCUAAGCGACGUUUUCCCUUUUUUUCUCGUCUCAAGUUUUUUUUUCCAUGAUACCGACUCCCCCCCCCCCCCCACACACACGAGAGCCCACGCAUUGACUUGCACAUGCAUGCAAACAGCGUCAACAAGCACACAGACACACACAGCUCAUGGCAGUUUUUCAUUUUUAAGCUGCUGGAAUUCGUGUGUCUGUGCGCUUGUCUGUAUGAAUAAAAAAGUAAGUGUGCUUUGUGAGUAUGCUCGUUUUCUUUACUGUCUGUUUGGUGGUGUUGGCGCACCGUGUGCGUCUGCGUUGAUGCCGUUUUCUAUUUUAUUUUGGUCAGUUCUUUGCUUUAGUGCUUUCCGUAUUUGUGUGAACGAUGAAUACCGUUGGAUUGAAGUGGUAGUGGUAGUGGGGGCAGCAGCGAUCACGAUGCGCGAUGUUGAGUCCAGCCCGAGGUGUGCUCAAUCGAAACAGGAAAAGAGAAAUUGCGUCUUUGUGCAUGUGUGGGGAAGAUUUGGCGUGGCGCAGUGCUGUCCUCUGCGUUUUGGCGCUCGUCCUCUUUCGCUGCGCUUUUUCGCUUUUUGGUUUCGUUUCUCCCCCCCCCUCCCCACACACAAACCCUCCACACACUCCCAUAGUUUUGCCUGUGCCGCGAUACACGCACGCGCGCUCAAAUGUGCUCCAUGGCCGUGUGUGUGUGUGUGUGUCUGUCUGUCUGUCUCUCUGUGUGUCAGUACUAAUAGCAUUAUUGACAUGCCAUUCUCUGGCGUUGUCGCCGGUGUGGCUCGUUCUGGUUUCGCCGUGCCCACGGUUUCCCCUUUAUUUCUAGCCGUUCACUUCUUUUUGCCGUCGUUGUCUCUUUGGGGUAGUCGCGUUGGUGCUUCUUUUUUUCUCUCCUCAUGAUUUCAUUUGGUUGCCCUCCUCCCCCCCCCCCCCCCCCACCCACCCGCCCGCCAUGACUCGCUGUCUUCGUCGUCGUCGUCGUCGUGUGUGCCUGCGUGCGCGCGUGAUGUUGUUUGUCUGUCUCUGUCUCUCUACAUGUUUGGUUGCUUUGCGUGUUUCUGAGCGUCACCUUUAAAUAUUUGUCUGUCGUGAUGGCGCGUAUUUCUUCUUUGCCGUAUUUUUUAUUUUGUGUGUGCGUGUGCGUGUGUGUGUGGGGGGGGGGGAGGCCUCUGUCUCUCUUUUUUUGUUUUAUUUUCCUGGUCGUAACGUAUCUCUCCCCCUCCCCCCUUUCCCGCCUGUUUGACGCGUUCACCCCUCUCGACAUUUUACGCUUGGCGUGUCGUAUGUUUAUGUUUGCGAAUGUGAUGCAUCUUUUUGUUUCGCAAGUGCAAACACCACCCCCACCCACAGAAAUCGUCCCGCUACAACCCCCCUCCCCCUCCUCUUCCCUCCCUUCCCCCGCCUCCCCGGCUGCCGACUCCCUCCACUACUGCGACUUCGAAACACUUAGCACACACGCACACACGCACACACGCACACACACACACACGCACACGCACACACACUUUAACUUCAUAAAGCGAACAAGCACAGGUAAAAACAAAAC
This 4209-nucleotide unclassified non-coding RNA is filed under the name Leishmania donovani. Its description in RNAcentral is "gene:LdHU3.09.1270(CDS-product:hypothetical_prote in_conserved)". Lineage: Eukaryota; Euglenozoa; Kinetoplastea; Trypanosomatida; Trypanosomatidae. The record is from RNAcentral.